RNAcentral lists this ribosomal RNA (486 nucleotides) under uncultured bacterium. RNAcentral's name for it is "partial 16S ribosomal RNA". It matches the Rfam family "Bacterial small subunit ribosomal RNA", at positions 30 to 507 of the family's 1533-position model. The record is from RNAcentral.
AUUGAACGCUGGCGACAUGCCUUACACAUGCAAGUCGAACGGCAGCACGGGUGCUUGCCCCUGGUGGCGAGUGGCGAACGGGUGAGUAAUACAUCGCAACAUGUCCUGUAGUGGGGGAUAGCCCGGCGAAAGCCGGAUUAAUACCGCAUACGAUCUACGGAUGAAAGCGGGGGACCUUCGGGCCUCGCGCUAUAGGGUUGGCCGAUGGCUGAUUAGCUAGUUGGUGGGGUAAAGGCCUACCAAGGCGACGAUCAGUAGCUGGUCUGAGAGGACGACCAGCCACACUGGGACUGAGACACGGCCCAGACUCCUACGGGAGGCAGCAGUGGGGAAUUUUGGACAAUGGGCGAAAGCCUGAUCCAGCAAUGCCGCGUGUGUGAAGAAGGCCUUCGGGUUGUAAAGCACUUUUGUCCGGAAAGAAAUCCUUGGCCCUAAUACGGUCGGGGGAUGACGGUACCGGAAGAAUAAGCACCGGCUAACUACGUG